UGUGGGAGCAGGCUUGCCUGCGAUGGGGUCACCUCGGUUUUCAGUUAGACCGAGGCGAUUCCAUCGCAGGCAAGCCAGCUCCCACA
This 86-nucleotide non-coding RNA is filed under the name Pseudomonas tolaasii NCPPB 2192. Lineage: Bacteria; Pseudomonadati; Pseudomonadota; Gammaproteobacteria; Pseudomonadales; Pseudomonadaceae. The record is from RNAcentral.